Podarcis lilfordi (Lilford's wall lizard) is the source of this 73-nucleotide non-coding RNA. Lineage: Eukaryota; Metazoa; Chordata; Lepidosauria; Squamata; Lacertidae. The record is from the annotation of a GenBank genome assembly.
GGUGCGUGUGUGUGUGUGUGUGUGUGUGUGUACACACACACACACACACACACACACACACACACAAUGCCUU